Molecule: ribosomal RNA, 407 nt
Filed under: uncultured Acinetobacter sp.
Lineage: Bacteria; Pseudomonadati; Pseudomonadota; Gammaproteobacteria; Moraxellales; Moraxellaceae
Description: bacterial SSU rRNA
Rfam family: Bacterial small subunit ribosomal RNA
Source: RNAcentral
UACAGGAGAAAGCAGGGGAUCUCCGGACCUUGCGCUAAAUGAUGAGCCUAAGUCGGAUUAGCUAGUUGGUGGGGUAAAGGCCUACCAAGGCGACGAUCUGUAGCGGGUCUGAGAGGAUGAUCCACACUGGGACUACACGGCCCAGACUCCUACGGGAGGCAGCAGUGGGGAAUAUUGGACAAUGGGCGCAAGCCNGAUCCAGCCAUGCCGCGUGUGUGAAGAAGGCCUUUUGGUUGUAAACUUUAAGCGAGGAGGAGGCUCAGUUAAUACCUAAGAUGAGUGGACGUUACUCGCAGAAUAAGCACCGGCUAACUCUGUGCCAGCAGCCGCGGUAAUACAGAGNGUGCGAGCGUUAAUCGGAUUUACUGGGCGUAAAGCGUGCGUAGGCGGCUUUUUAAGUCGGAUGU